AUGGCGGCGGCGGCUUCGGGCUCGGAUGCGACCGAGCUAGAGGCCAUGAUGGAGGAGUUAGGUCUGAAUGAAGGCAAUCUUCAAGAUGUCGUGGUGAACGACGGCGAUCUCCCACAGGAAGCGACGAGGUGGAUGGCGAUCGCUCGAGUGCACACAGACAAAACCUACAGUCAGUACUGGUUCUAUCGCACCAUGAGGGUGGCGUGGGACCUUGCGAGGGAAGUCAAAAUCCGCCCUCUAGAAGAAAAUUUGUAUACUUUUCAGUUUCAGUUCUUAGGGGAUUGGGAGAGGGUCAUGGAAGAAGGUCCUUGGGCUUACAAAGGGAAAGCAGUGGUUAUUGAGCCAUAUGAUGGAUUCACCAGACCAUCGACCAUACCUCUUGACAAGAUGGGAAUCUGGGCUCAGAUUCACGACUUUCCAGAAGGGUACUUCCCGCUAAUCAAAUCCCUAGCUGCUACCAUUAGUGAGUUUGUCUUUGCAGAGCCGAAGUCACAGGACUUUGAAGGCAAUUUCUACCGUGUUCGUGUGAAAAUCAAUGUCAGAGAGCCACUAAAGAAUGUUGUUUCCAUAGUCAAGAACAAAAAGAGAGAGAUCUUCCGAGUUAAAUAUGAAAGGCUGCCUGAUUGGUGUGCUGUUUGUGGCCAUCUAGGGCAUGUCUUCAAAGAAUGUGGGGACGGAGUUCAUCCCCCAAAGGCUUUAAUUUUUAAGAAUCUGCGAGCUUCUUGGUUUAGGGGACCGGGCAGUGGACCUGGUGAAGGAAAGGGCAAUCGAGGGGGAGGUAGAUCACAAGGAGGCCGAGGAAACGGUCGCUCAGGGCGUGGAGGCCGGGGCACAGGACCAUCACCCGAGGAGCAGUUUGACACUGAAAACCCUGUCGAUGCUGAUAUGGAGGAUGUGGAUGUGGAUGGUAGCAGCAAGAGGACUCGAGGCAAUACACCUUUGCUCAUGGCGCCGAUGACGACCUCACAACAGAUGGGGGAUCCUACUACCUCUGUAUCUACUAUACCUCAAAGCCCUUCUUCAAAACAGAUUCCUAAGAGGCCAAAGACAAAUCCUACUACCGUGGAGAAACACAAUGAGAAGAACAAAGCAGCAAAUACAACUAAUGAUGCGCGUCUGGCGGACCCCAGCAAUGGGUCGCGCCAAGCAUAA
Molecule: ribosomal RNA, 1152 nt
Filed under: Triticum aestivum (bread wheat)
Lineage: Eukaryota; Viridiplantae; Streptophyta; Magnoliopsida; Poales; Poaceae
Description: partial small subunit ribosomal RNA
Source: RNAcentral